GACGCGUCCCUUUAAAUGUGUCGCAAGACAUCAACAGAAAAACAUUAAUGCGGUGUGAGUUGAAGAGUGAGUCUCUUGGUGUAUCGUCUGUGCAAACAGGAUAAUUUCGGCUUGGUGUCUGCGUGUAUGGUAACCAGUAAAUGGUGCCCGUAGUCACGAGUCUACAGACACUUGUUUGCAAAAUAGCGAGUAGUGAUUCUACAUGGGUUUGAGGUAACGAGUAACAUCGAGGAGAGUGUCCAGCUAUUAAUCAUUCAUGCCGUUUAAACUUUGGUAAAGGGUAUAUAGCUCUUAUUUAUUUGGGCUGGUGUCAAAAGAAAAAAAUGAGGAUUGCCUUCGUUGGUCACUAGCUACUGUUUUUCCUGGGUUUAAUAAUUUUGUUUCAUUUUGUAUUUCUUCAUAUGUGUGCCUUGGGGAUCUGCUACCACUGUUUUUGAUGACCUGGACCCAGGUGGGCCUAGGAGGGAGUCCGGCUAGUGGUAGUUUGUUAAUUUAGAUGUUGUUUUUUUUUUUUUUGUGUCUGUUUGGCAAUUGUCAUUAUUCAACCUUUGGCCCAUGGGCAUUGUGCAAUAUUUCCUUUAGGAAUCGUGUCUAUCUUGCAAUGUUUACUGGUGUGAAGUGUGAAAUGCUGUGUUAAUGUACGCAUGGCCAAUUUGGUUUGAAGUGUUUCUUGCAGUGUUGGAGUGUAUGUGAACAGUACCUAUAUAUCUGACUUUAUUCACUGUAGUCUAGGCAUUGUUAGAUUUUUAUCUUGUAACUCAUUUAUUAUGAGACCUUUUAUUCACUGUGAUUAAUCUAUUGUAGAAUUGUUCACUGUUACCUAUAGGAAACAUCUGUCUGCUCUGAUUGCCAAUCAGUGUAUUGUCUAGUGUUUAAUAAAAUUGAGUACAUCA
Molecule: long non-coding RNA, 893 nt
Organism: Carassius gibelio (silver crucian carp)
Lineage: Eukaryota; Metazoa; Chordata; Actinopteri; Cypriniformes; Cyprinidae
Exons: 3
Source: RefSeq, a predicted model, not a curated record